This 266-nucleotide long non-coding RNA is filed under the name Physcomitrium patens. RNAcentral's name for it is "long non-coding RNA (PPAT_LNC005248)". The record is from RNAcentral. Lineage: Eukaryota; Viridiplantae; Streptophyta; Bryopsida; Funariales; Funariaceae.
GGAAAUUCGAACACGGGGAGUGACUAGUUGCUUAAGCGUUCACGUUAGGGUCACACAAUUAAUUACCUCCAAUGUAUCGUCUCUAUUUCCAUUGUCUAAGCAUACAAGGAAACUAUAAUCUCUCCUUUCACCUUAUCAAUCUCUUCCUUACAACAAUUCAGUCAUACCAAUAACUGUUAUUUCUACCAAUAUAUCUUCACUCUUAUAAUCUCCAACUGUAAUACCGCAACAUCACAGCUUCAGCACACAAUUACCCUCAUUCCAAU